RNAcentral lists this ribosomal RNA (758 nucleotides) under uncultured cyanobacterium. RNAcentral's name for it is "bacterial SSU rRNA". It matches the Rfam family "Bacterial small subunit ribosomal RNA", at positions 28 to 830 of the family's 1533-position model. The record is from RNAcentral. Lineage: Bacteria; Bacillati; Cyanobacteriota.
GAUGAACGCUGGCGGUCUGCUUAACACAUGCAAGUCGAACGGAGUACUUCGGUACUUAGUGGCGGACGGGUGAGUAACGCGUGAGGAUCUGCCCUCAGGAGGGGGACAACGACUGGAAACGGUCGCUAAUACCCCAUAUGCCGAGAGGUGAAAUGUUUUUUCGCCUGAGGAUGAGCUCGCGUCAGAUUAGCUAGUUGGUGGGGUAACGGCCUACCAAGGCGACGAUCUGUAGCUGGUCUGAGAGGAUGAUCAGCCACACUGGGACUGAGACACGGCCCAGACUCCUACGGGAGGCAGCAGUGGGGAAUUUUCCGCAAUGGGCGAAAGCCUGACGGAGCAAGACCGCGUGAGGGAUGACGGCCUAAUGGUUGUAAACCUCUUUUCUCUGGGAAGAUAAUGACGGUACCAGAGGAAUAAGCCUCGGCUAACUCCGUGCCAGCAGCCGCGGUAAUACGGAGGAGGCAAGCGUUAUCCGGAAUUAUUGGGCGUAAAGCGUCCGUAGGUGGUUAAUCAAGUCAGCUGUUAAAGAGCGGAGCUCAACUCCGUUAGAGCGGUUGAAACUGAUUGACUAGAGUUUGGUAGGGGUCGAGGGAAUUCCCAGUGUAGCGGUGAAAUGCGUAGAUAUUGGGAAGAACACCGGUGGCGAAAGCGCUCGACUGGGCCUGAACUGACACUGAGGGACGAAAGCUAGGGGAGCGAAAGGGAUUAGAUACCCCUGUAGUCCUAGCCGUAAACGAUGGAUACUAGGUGUUGCUCGU